UUUACUCUACAUGAACUUCUUGCAGGUUGUUGGAGCUCUUCUAGUGUGUUGUGUGUUUGUGGUUGUCGUGAUGGUCGGCACCAUCGGUCAGCUUGGUGUGUGUGUGAAAGACUCCCCUGACUCUGAUGUGUACAACUCAUACUUACCUGGCAAGGGAGAUACCAUGAUCAAGAAGGUGGUUCACCCAGGGCGAGGCUUAGCCAUUGCACUCCGGUUGAGCUGACCUCUGCGAAUUCCCCAAAUGUGGGAAUCUCGAUUGCAUAAUUUCUGGUAGUGGGGGACUGCGUUCGCGCUCUCCCCUGAUAACAUGUCAAUAGAAAAAUAUAUUCUAUUCAGUGAUGGCAAUGUGAGGCUUUCUGAACCAGUGAAGCUUUUGAGCCUGCCAGUAUAUUGUGGACAUGACUAUGAAAAGUUGAACCAAUAAAUCAUCUUAUAAACACAUGGAUUCCUCUCCUAGUGAGACAGGCAGACUGAAUCGAGUAACGUUUAACGUGUCUAAAGUGCUAAGAAACAAACAAACACACAUCCAUACCGAUUUGUACUUAAAUCCAAUGUGCAAUUUCCAAGUAUCGAUACAAUCGAUUAUGUACCAUUUUAAUCGAUAUAUGUCGUCCGGAAUGCUGAUUUGCGGCGCACAGAUUUAUUCAGUUGGAUCGCAGGAAUAUUAAUCGAUUCACUGAAUGAAUUGUUACACCCCUACUGCUCACAUGUUUUUCUAAACUGAUUUUAGCAAUUAAGAAGAAAACUCAUUUGUCUGGCCCCCGGGGGGCAACCAGCUCCAGACUUCAGCCCAGCUGAGAAAUUGGCCCUUGACAUAAACCAAGGAAGGCCUGUAAUGAAGGGAUUCACAGACAGACAGCUACUGACUCUGUUCCACCUGCAGCAAGUGCCCUCUUCACACAUGGUACAUUCUCCAGUCUUGCACAUCAAUGAUGUGGAGACGUGUCGCUGGAUUCCAGAAGGCCUGAGGUGUCAUAUAGAUCGUAUGGAAAUGCAUAUUAAGCCCAUAAUGGAUGAGAAGUCUGUUCAGUUCAGUUUAUUGGUUUCUUGUCUGGUGUCUAUAAUGUACACACUUUAGUGCUUUGCUGUGUGUAUUGUUUUGCAAGCUGAAUAAAGUCAUAUGCAACCUGUGUCAUAUGGUAACAUAUGGUUUUGAUAUAUUAGUGCAUCGUUUUUACAGGAGUGUUUAAUUUUGCAAAGGUGUUCCGAGGUGUUUUGUGAAUUGAGUUUGUGGGUGUGCUAUUUUGAAGAACAAAACCAGCCGACCGAAGUCUUAGCCAGCUCGCUCGCUAACAGACGUUAACUCUCCUCCAAACGACAAAGUGGCUUAAUGAAUAAUUAUUGCAAAGAGUAAUUAUUUAUAUUAUUCGCUACUUGCGGCAGACUUGAUAAUUAGCCAUAAUAAUUGGCUGGGAUA
Long non-coding RNA from Gasterosteus aculeatus aculeatus (three-spined stickleback), 1417 nucleotides. NCBI's taxonomy places the organism in Eukaryota, Metazoa, Chordata, Actinopteri, Perciformes, Gasterosteidae. The record is from Ensembl.